This is an RNA transcript of Camarhynchus parvulus, 8149 nucleotides long. It is a transcript of the gene named protein tyrosine phosphatase non-receptor type 4, with no coding region annotated. The record is from RefSeq and is a predicted model, not a curated record. The transcript has 28 exons. NCBI's taxonomy places the organism in Eukaryota, Metazoa, Chordata, Aves, Passeriformes, Thraupidae.
CGCGCGGGGCGGCAGCGGCGCGAGCGCGCAGCCCCCGCGCCUCUUCCCUCGGCGCUCCCCGCUCCAUCUGGAACCAGGACGUGGAUGUUACAUGAAGACCCUGUGUGGACAGUAAUGACCGCACGUUUCCGAUUGCCUGCUGGCAGAACCUACAAUGUCCGAGCAUCUGAGCUGGCACGAGACAGGCAGCAUACGGAGGUGGUCUGCAACAUUUUUCUCCUGGAUAACACUGUACAAGCUUUCAGAGUUAAUAAACACGAUCAGGGCCAAGUUCUGUUGGACAUAGUCUUCAAGCAUCUCGAUUUGACAGAGAGAGAUUACUUUGGUUUACAGUUGGCUGAUGAAUCUACUGAUAACCCUAGGUGGUUGGAUCCAAACAAACCUAUCAGGAAACAAUUAAAAAGAGGAUCUCCUCACAGUCUGAACUUCAGAGUUAAGUUUUUUGUAGGUGACCCAAACAAGCUCCAAGAGGAAUACACAAGGUACCAGUACUUUUUGCAAAUUAAGCAGGACAUUCUUACUGGAAGAUUGCCCUGUCCUUAUAAUACUGCUGCUCUUCUGGCUUCCUAUGCUGUUCAAUCCGAGCUGGGAGACUACAACCAUUCAGAAAACUUGCCAGGCUACCUCUCAGAAUAUUCUUUCAUCCCUAGCCAGCCUCAAGACUUUGAAAAAGAAAUAGCAAAAUUACAUCAGCAGCACAUAGGGUUGUCUCCUGCAGAAGCAGAGUUCAAUUAUCUCAAUACAGCACGUACCUUAGAACUUUAUGGAGUUGAAUUGCACUAUGCAAGGGAUCAGAGUAACAAUGAAAUCAUGAUUGGAGUGAUGUCAGGUGGAAUACUAAUUUUUAAGAACCGUGUACGAAUUAACACCUUUCAGUGGUUGAAGAUUGUAAAGAUUUCUUUUAAGUGCAAGCAGUUUUUUAUUCAACUUAGGAAAGAACUGCAUGAAUCUAGAGAAACAUUACUGGGAUUCAAUAUGGUGAAUUACCGAGCAUGUAAGAAUUUGUGGAAAGCUUGUGUGGAGCAUCACACAUUCUUCCGUUUGGACAGACCACUCCCACCUCAGAAGAACUUUUUUGCACAUUAUUUCACUUUGGGUUCCAAGUUCCGGUACUGUGGGAGAACAGAGGUCCAAUCUGUGCAGUAUGGUAAAGAAAGAGCAAAUAAAGACAGGGUAUUUGCAAGAUCCCCCAGUAAACCCUUGGCACGGAAAGUGAUGAGUGGGAUGGAUUGGGAAGUAGUGAGUAGGAACUCACUGUCUGAUGAUAGGUUGGAAACACAGAGCCUCCCGUCACGGUCUCCACCUGGAACCCCAAAUCAUCGCAACUCUGCCUUCACUCAAGAAGGAGCCCGGUUACGACCCUCAUCAGUCGGACAUUUAGUGGAUCAUGUGGUUCACACCUCCCCCAGUGAAGUGUUUGUAAAUCACAGAUCUCCAUCCUCCACCCAGGCCAACAGCAUCAUACUGGAAUCAUCCCCAUCUCAAGAGACUCCUAUAGAUGGGCAGCCUCCAGCAUUACCACCCAAACAAUUUAAAAAGAACAGUUGGAACCAAAUUCAUCAUUCACACUCGCAGCAAGAACUGAAUAACCAUAUUAAUGAAACAUUUGAUGUUCCUGCAUCACCUGAAAAAUCCACCCCCAAUGGUGGUGUCCCCCAUGACAAUCUUGUUAUGAUCAGAAUGAAACCAGAUGAAAAUGGAAGGUUUGGCUUCAAUGUAAAGGGUGGAUAUGAUCAGAAGAUGCCGGUAAUAGUGUCCAGGGUAGCUCCAGGAACACCUGCUGAUCUGUGUGUCCCUCGUUUGAAUGAAGGGGACCAGGUUGUCCUGAUUAACGGCAGGGACAUAGCAGAGCAUACCCACGACCAAGUGGUAAUGUUUAUUAAAGCCAGCUGUGAGAGACACUCAGGGGAACUUGUGCUCCUAGUUCGACCCAAUGCUGUCUACGAUGUUGUGGAAGAGAAGCUGGAGAGCGAGCCUGAUUUUCAGUACAUCCCUGAGAAAUCUCCCCUUGAUGGUGUCCAUCAAGAUGAUAACGCUCUGAGGGAGUCCAUGAUUCAGUUAGCAGAGGGGCUCAUCACUGGAACUGUCCUGGCUCAGUUUGAUCAAUUGUAUAGGAAAAAGCCUGGAAUGACAAUGUCUUGUGCCAGAUUACCUCAAAACAUUUCCAAAAAUAGAUACAGAGACAUUUCGCCUUAUGAUGCUACACGGGUUAUUUUAAAAAGUAAUGAAGAUUACAUCAAUGCAAAUUAUAUAAAUAUGGAAAUCCCUUCUUCCACAAUAAUAAACCAGUACAUUGCUUGCCAAGGUCCAUUACCGAACACUUGUCCUGAUUUCUGGCAGAUGACUUGGGAGCAAGGCUCUUCCAUGGUUGUGAUGUUGACAACUCAAGUAGAACGGGGCAGAGCAGACUCCCUGCUCUAAAGCUGAUCAUGAGGCUUCUGACAUCACUAUCCCACUGCAUGCCGGGAUGUCUCAGUGGAGCAGGAAGUCUGCAAAUCUGGCUGCUCUUAAAGAUUCGCCAGGUUAAAUGCCAUCAGUACUGGCCAGAGCCAUCAGGAAGCUCAUCAUAUGGGAAUUUUCAGAUUACCUGCCAUUCAGAAGAAGGAAAUCCUGCUUAUGUCUUUCGAGAAAUGACAUUGACUAAUCUGGAGAAAGAGGAAAGCCGCCAGCUAACCCAAAUCCAGUACAUAGCAUGGCCUGAUCAUGGGGUUCCUGAUGAUUCCAGCGAUUUCCUCGAUUUCGUGUGUCUCGUGCGAAAGAAGAGGGCUGGCAGAGAAGAACCUGUUGUUGUUCACUGCAGUGCUGGGAUUGGCCGGACAGGGGUUCUGAUCACGAUGGAGACAGCAAUGUGUCUCAUUGAGUGCAAUCAGCCUGUUUAUCCUCUAGAUAUUGUAAGAACCAUGAGAGAUCAAAGAGCCAUGAUGAUCCAAACACCUAGUCAGUACAGAUUUGUAUGUGAAGCUAUUUUGAAGGUGUAUGAAGAAGGAUUUAUUAAACCUUUACAAGCAUCACUGCAUAAGUAAAGAGCAAAAAACCUAUGAUAUCAAUUGAGGAAUCCUGUCCUCUAUAAUGAACUGGCAACGUUCUUUGUGCCAUAAUACUGCUUGCAGGAAAUGAUAGUGAAGUACAGCAAAGAAUUGACAAAGGACUUUGAAAACUUCAGCACUGUUGCACUUUACGUUGAAACAAAAUCAGUCUCUGAAACUCUUCUAACCUUCAUCUGUUUGAAGACUUUAUUUUCGUGAUUUGCUCCGAACAAACCAUGGACUGAAAGAACUGAUUGUGUUCAGGGUAAUCGCCGAUAUUUCAUUGUAGUGCCAUAUACUGCGCUUCUGGUUGAUUGCUACAAACAAGGCUUGGAAUUAUUUCACUCUAUUUUACACCCAUGUCUCUUAAAAUGAAAAACAAAUGAAAAAAUACACUAAGCCAUGGUCUUUUUCCAGUGCUAGGUUUAUUUACUAUGUACAGAGUCUCACAGUUUUGUUUUUUACAACAUUAGCAAUAUUGCCAAUACUAGAUAGAUACACACUGCCUACUGAUGCAGCACACUUUGUCCUACACCCUUACUAAAGACCAGCUGGUUGUUAGAGGAGAGCUGGCAUCUGUUAACCCAGCAGUAGCUGCAUAAUGCCCACUUACCAGCAUCUUGUACAAAAUAGUAACAAUAAAAAUUUAAAAAAAACAACACAUAAAUAAACAGCAUUUCUUUGGCACAGCUUGUGUGUCAUACACUGGUGUAUUCUGAUUUGUGUGACUUCAGAUUAUGUGAUGGGAACUAGUGCAUGCAUUAUGUCUUAACCCCUUAAGUGCCUUGAGACUUACAGCGUACAUCCAGUGAAAGGCACUCAUGAUUCCAUGGGGGUGGUAUUGUCCUGUCAUAUUUAUCUUAAUGGGUUCAGAUUUUUUAAAUGGCCCUUGGUGCUUGGAGUACGUUACCACAAGGAGUCAUGGAAAUACCAUUCCCUCUUUUGUUAUACAAGUACCUGUGUGCUACUCUCUGUAGCAAAAGCACCUCUGCCAACUUAAUGAAUGAGCAUUGUAUGCUGCUGUGCUGUAAUUAUAUCAAAAAUCUGACACAUUCCUUCAUUCCUUCCAACUAGUAACUUACUAGCAUCUUACUACAAAAUGCUGGUAGGUCAUUAGAAGCCGAUACCUUAUUUUAUCCUUUUAUUGAGAAUAGCUGUUUUACUCAAUUAGACAUAACUCUUUAAUAGCACUGAUAAUUAAGUUGAACUUACAAUCAGAUAUGACUUAAUUCCAUUACCUUCUAACUAACCUGUUCAGUCCUCAUAGUUAAUUUCAAGCCAUGUUCGUACAGGUCUGCCUUUUAUUUUCUUUUAUUUGUUUGGAGGGGAGAAGGGAGGAGAACACUAUGAAGUUAUCCCAGAACUUAAUUUUAAUUUCAUAAUGACCCCAGUCGCCUUCUGUUAUGCUUGUGCAAAAUCGUUCCAGUUGGUAUGGGUUGCAUCUUAUUUAAGUAGGUAGAAGAUUUGUAAGAAAUGUCUGUCUGAUACAGUAUCUGAGCUCAUUCUGAAGAUGCAUAGGUGUCCCCAUUUUUAAAUAUUUUUCUAGUAUAAGAGAAACCAAGUCAGAAGCAAGGUACCCAGUGUAAUAUACUGUAAGAAAAAACCAGUCACUUAUUUGACUGCCCUCUGACAGCAUAACUUUGUGCCCUCUAUUUAAAAGUUUUAAUUUAUUGUAUUGGUUUCCUGAAAAUGUAUAUCCAUUAAAUUUUGUUGUAAGCUAUAUAUAUAGCAUAGAAUUAAAAUGGAAAGUUCUACACUAAAUAAUUUUUAACUAUUGAAGAAUUAUAUUGUAUAAUAUACUUUGUUCUAUGGACAUUUGAAACAGAUCAGCUAUGAACUAUUAAAUGAAAAGGGAUUCAGGCAACGUGAAAUCCUGGCUUAUGACUUAGUAAUGAACAAGAACUACAAUGCCAAAUGAAAGAUAGAGUUUUAAAUAUUUUUAGAAAACAAAGUAAUAUUAGGAGGGCUGUGGCCCUGUUACUUAUAUUUCUAGAUUUGAUGCUGAAGUCAAUGUUAUCCCUCAGUGAAAAAUAAAUUUUACAAGAACCUCUGGAUCUGAACUGAACUGAAAAAGAGUAAUAUGGUAGCUUUAAUCUCAGUUAUAUUUUAAGCCAUUUUCAACAAAUAAAAAAUCUUUUUUUAUAAUUCUUUAACUUCCUGAGUUACUGGCUAGUUAGAAGGUUAUAUUGAACUCAGCACUUAAUGUCCAAAAAAUAAACAAAAAUCAUCCAUUAUACUGAAAGAAAUUUUCUUCAUAGUUAAGUUGUAAACAAAAAUAGCAUUUGCCCUGUUAUCGUGAGGGAAAUCAGAAAUGGAGUUUAUGCAGCAUUAUAUAGCAUUGGUAUGUCACAUAUUUAAAUAUUCUUAUGUAAAAUUGCCAUAGCAGUUCGAGUUCAAAAGUCCCAUUUAUACCACAAUUAAGUGUGGGAUAUGUAUUGGUCAUCUGUCAGUACUGUUUUGAUUACAAACACAGGCAAGAAUAAUAGAUCUCCUCAAAAUGUUCCUCUGCACUGACUUGUAGUUUAUUAACUAGCUACACUGGAGAAAAAACAUGAAACAAAGUACCUAUUCUUAAUUAAUUGGCCUCAGUGACUCAGUGGCUUUUGGCUUCUCCAAAGCCAGGAUAAAGGUAACCAAAAACUGCUUGGGAAAGAGAAUAGCACUGAAGUCUUUCUGCAGCAUAAAUCAGUCAUUUAAAUUUUUCUACCUGUUGUGGUAUAAAUGGCCUUUAAAAUAUUUUUAUAUGGCCAAAAAAGCAAAACUGCUUAAUAUUUUACUUUGGGUUAUGAAGAUCUGUAUCAUCCUUAAGAGUUUUUUAAAGAAGUUUUUGUAUGUUUCAUGCUGUACAAAACAUGAAUGUAUCUUUCAGACAUAAUGACUUAUAGACCUAUAUGUGAUUGGUGUUAUGACUGUUGGAUUUUAUGAAUAAUUAUUUUCAUACCAUUUGAUUAGGAAAAAUGUUGGGUGGGUGUGGAAAAGAGUAUGUUUCUAACACUUCCAUGAUGCAAAUCCAGUUAAAGAAAAAAAAAGUAGUUUUCAUUGUAAAUAAGAGCAAUAUUAUGACAAAUUUGUGCCAAUGUAAAAUGUUAAGAUUUUUGGUUUUACUUUUAGGUUCAGAUUGAAAACUACCACUACCAUCUCUUGUUUAAAAUGGAUUUGAAGGGGGUUUUUUAGUAGAAAGACAUGGGGCUCUAGUGGGGGCUUUAAGUGGUUUUUGGGAGCAUUUUUUACUUUUGCUAAAUAUGAAAUAAGAUACAGGUAUUGUUUAAUAAACCACCUACAGACUGUCAGCCAGUCCACUUUGAGAAAUACUGCAUUAGAUAUCCCAGGUAACUGAGGGCUGAAAAUUUCAUUUAUCCUGAAUUUAGAAGCAUUUGGUAUUUUCAAUCACUUGUAGGUCUUAAGCAGUAAAAUACUGCUUUUAUGCAUUUUAUUUUUAUCUAUUCUCUCCCCGUUAUGAAAAAGAGAACACCUGGGGAUUUUUCUCACUAGAUUUAAUGCUAGCUGACAUUUCUUCCACGUUUCUCUGUUAAAUCUCAAAAGCUUAUAUGCCAUAUAGAUAAAGCAAUAACACUUCUUCUAGAAUAUCUGAUUAUAGUCUGGCACACCAUCUAGUAAAGAAAGGGUGAGAAAGCAGUUGGGACAUUAAGGAACAUGAGGAGGUUGUUAUAGAACUUGUGUAGUUGGCAACUUUCCGUGGAGACCUUCCAAAAAGCUUCAUGGUACCUGUGGAAGGGCCAAAAUGCAGCAGAUGUGCUGCAGUUGUGCUGCCCAGGGAAACCUGACAAAGGGAAGGUCUGGCAUAGAGAUGUUGGAGUUCCAGGUAUGCUGUGGAGCUGAAUUAUGUGAUAUUUUUAUGCUUAUGCAGUGUGUGCAGGUAUGUGGGUGAUGUUUGGUGGCUCAGGGAAUUAGCAUGAGCAUGAAAAGCUCUACAGAUCCACCAAGCUCUACAAUUUCCAAGCAAAAGAAGGUUGUCCAGUACAUAUGCUGUAGUUUUGACUGUAGAGCCACUGUGCAGGCAAUCAGCAAGCCCCUCAGCCCUGAGGAUAAAAGGAGUGAUUUGGUUAUGGUCCACAUGAAAAUUUUGGAUAUUUGGACUUCCACCAAGUAGAGGAAUGACAUCCUCCAAUAUCAGAUGCAGUCUUUUUUGUAGCUCACAUCUCAGGUCCCCAGUUAGAUGGGUUGGGUGUAUUUGCCAAUUUUAGUGUACCCAUCUUUUGUCUUGAGACUGAAAAGUUCUUUCCCAUUGCUACUUCUAGCGCUAGGAUCCAGUAUUAAGAUCUGGUGAAAACAUAUUCAUUGAUUAACUGUGGAUCUUGCAUGAAUAUGCAGGUAUUUAUAAUUAGUGGUGAUUUGGAAGCUGUUAGAAGGAGGAAAUGGUUGGUUUGUUUCAGUGUAACUGUUCUGUCCAGUCUCUGUUAUCCCACUGCACUUAGUCACUUGUUUGUUUAGAAGUCUGCAAAGAAGGCCAGUUCCUUAUCACUGGAUUUUACCUCUGUGCUUGUUACUCCCACAGGUGUCUAUCUUUUCAUAGGGCUACUCCUGCAACAAGUUCUGAUCUGGUGCAUAAGCUGUAAGUUGUGGCUGUUGGCUUUGGCAUGUUUUGCUCAUUGAGAUUUCAGUGGUAAAAAGGAGACAUUAACGACUUUCUUAAAAAAAAAAAGCUGAAAUAUUCAAUUUUUAAAAUUUAGACAUUUUGAUUAGUAGCCUUAUUUUAAAAAGCCACUAAAAUAUCUGAUUCUAGUCUGCUGUAGCAAGAAUGAUGGUUCACAGACUGGCUGGCAGCUUGUUGGUUGUGGUAUUUCAUAUUUAGCAAGCUUACACAUUUUAAAGGAUAAUUUUUUUCAAAGUGUUUUGAUGUUUGAAUAGUAGCACUUUAUGUCAUGCUUACUACUGACUGAACUAUUGGACAAAAUAAAUUGGGUUUGGAGAGAGAUGCUUAAUGGGUUUCUGUACAGAGAUGAUUCGGCUUACACCCUGGUACGAAUGCUUUCUGUUGUUCCAGCCACUUCUUGUUGAUUGUUCACAUGUUUCUGAGGGAUUUUCAGAAAAUAGACAUUAAUAAGAUAAUUCUAUCAUCUCAAUUUUCCUGUCUUAAUAAAAAUAUGAAGCCUACAUUUGGG